This 59-nucleotide transfer RNA is filed under the name Atopobium sp. Its description in RNAcentral is "tRNA-Arg". It matches the Rfam family "tRNA", at positions 9 to 63 of the family's 71-position model. Rfam says of the family: Transfer RNA (tRNA) molecules are approximately 80 nucleotides in length. Their secondary structure includes four short double-helical elements and three loops (D, anti-codon, and T loops). The record is from RNAcentral. Lineage: Bacteria; Bacillati; Actinomycetota; Coriobacteriia; Coriobacteriales; Atopobiaceae.
AGCUCAGCUGGAUAGAGCGUUUGACUACGAAUCAAAAGGCCAGGGGUUCGAAUCCCUUC